Cavia porcellus (domestic guinea pig) is the source of this 71-nucleotide transfer RNA. It matches the Rfam family "tRNA". From Rfam's summary of the family: Transfer RNA (tRNA) molecules are approximately 80 nucleotides in length. Their secondary structure includes four short double-helical elements and three loops (D, anti-codon, and T loops). Further hydrogen bonds mediate the characteristic L-shaped molecular structure. tRNAs have two regions of fundamental functional importance: the anti-codon, which is responsible for specific mRNA codon recognition, and the 3' end, to which the tRNAs corresponding amino acid is attached (by aminoacyl-tRNA synthetases). tRNAs cope with the degeneracy of the genetic code in two manners: having more than one tRNA (with a specific anti-codon) for a particular amino acid; and 'wobble' base-pairing, i.e. permitting non-standard base-pairing at the 3rd anti-codon position. The record is from Rfam. NCBI's taxonomy places the organism in Eukaryota, Metazoa, Chordata, Mammalia, Rodentia, Caviidae.
GGGGAUUUAGCUCAGCGGCAUAAGCGCCUGCCUUGUAAGCAGGUAGUUGUGAGUUCGAUCCCUGGUACCCA